Trifolium pratense (red clover) is the source of this 1001-nucleotide long non-coding RNA. RefSeq lists it as uncharacterized. The transcript has 3 exons. The record is from RefSeq and is a predicted model, not a curated record. NCBI's taxonomy places the organism in Eukaryota, Viridiplantae, Streptophyta, Magnoliopsida, Fabales, Fabaceae.
GUGUUUUCAUUGACCAAAAAAAAGUGUUUACAUUCUCUGUUGCUCUUAUUCAACCUUUCUUCUCCCGUUUGUUCGUUCAGCAUAUUUUCUUAAAGAUCCCAUUUUGUUCACAGUCGCACCCUCUACAUCAGUUAGGAUGCUCCUGAAAAUGAUGAAUUUGAUUAAAAUUCUGGUAUGUUGGAGUUCCAUUAUGAGAAUUAAUGCAAUCAAUGCCUAUUGUCCAUUAGGUUUACAACCGUGAUACAGAAGCUGGAGAUCAUUCAUCUACACAAGAAUCAACAAAUGAAAACACAGUUGAUGAUAAGGAACUACAAGCAGCACAUGCUGAAUCAUCUAAGGCAGUGGUAAAUGGACCAGUAGCACCACAUGCUGAAGCAUCUAAGGCAAAAUCAGAUGCUAUUUUAGCUGAAAGGGAGAGGUUUAAGUCAAGGAGUGCAAAUGACACUUAUUCAAUUACUGACUGUGUGACUGUUCUUAACGAGAUUGAAGAUGUCACGGACGACAUCUAUAUGAAAGCUCUGGAAAAAUUUAUGGAUCCUGGUUGGAGGGAAGCAUUUCUUGCUAUGCCUAAUGAUAGGAGAAAGGCAUGGCUAGUUAGACUUUAAGAAAUUUGAUGUAAUGCUCUUAUCAUUGUCUUGAAACUUUUUAUCAUGUUAUUUUGCUUGAAUUCCUGCAAUUCAGUCAACUUGAAAGACAGAUAUUUUGAAUUGCACAUCAUUGAACAAAUGUAAUAUUUUGUACUUGGUUUUCCUUUGGUGUUUCAUGUUUGAAUUUUCCAGUAUCUAAGUAGUGUAUGCUUGUUUUAUGAAAUGAUUUGCUUCUGCAAUACUGAAACUAUUUCAUUUGUGAUCAAACACUUCAUGAAUCUGGCAACAACCAAAGUUUCAUCUAUAAUGAUUUGGAAAGCUCUUAACCUUUAUGUAAAAAGGUAACAUAGCUGAACAAUUUAAAGGAAAAAGCCAGAAUAAUAUAGAGUGAAGUUACAUGGGAAUAAUCCCAGU